GACGAACGCUGGCGGCGUGCUUAACACAUGCAAGUCGAACGGGCCUGUCUUCUUUUUUGGGGGUGGGUUGAGUGGCGAACGGGUGAGUAUCACGUGAGUAACCUGCCCUUCGGUCCUGGAUAACCGCUUGAAAGGGCGGCUAAUACGGGGUGGUCCGGUUGGUCCGCAUGGGCUGGUCGGGAUAGAUUCACUGUUUUUGGUGUUUCGGCGGGGGAUGGGCUCGCGGCCUAUCAGCUUGUUGGGGGGGUGAUGGCCUACCAAGGCGGUGACGGGUAGCCGGCCUGGGAGGGUGGGCGGCCACACUGGGACUGGGAUGCGGGCCAGACUCCUGCGGGAGGCAGCAGCGGGGGGUAUUGCACAAUGGGCGGAAGCCUGAUGCAGCGACGUCGCGUGAGGGAUGGAGGCCUUCGGGUUGUGAACCUCUGUUUCCGGUGGUGAAGGCCCUGUCCGUGUGGUGGGGUUGACGGUAGCCGGGGAUGAAGCGCCGGCUAACUACGU
This 498-nucleotide ribosomal RNA is filed under the name uncultured bacterium. RNAcentral's name for it is "partial 16S ribosomal RNA". It matches the Rfam family "Bacterial small subunit ribosomal RNA", at positions 28 to 506 of the family's 1533-position model. The record is from RNAcentral.